Molecule: ribosomal RNA, 497 nt
Filed under: uncultured bacterium
Lineage: Bacteria
Description: partial 16S ribosomal RNA
Rfam family: Bacterial small subunit ribosomal RNA
Source: RNAcentral
GGCGAACGCUGGCGGCGUGCCUAAUACAUGCAAGUUGAGCGCUGAAGGUUGGUACUUGUACCAACUGGAUGAGCAGCGAACGGGUGAGUAACGCGUGGGGAAUCUGCCUUUGAGCGGGGGACAACAUUUGGAAACGAAUGCUAAUACCGCAUAAAAACUUUAAACACAAGUUUUAAGUUUGAAAGAUGCAAUUGCAUCACUCAAAGAUGAUCCCGCGUUGUAUUAGCUAGUUGGUGAGGUAAAGGCUCACCAAGGCGAUGAUACAUAGCCGACCUGAGAGGGUGAUCGGCCACAUUGGGACUGAGACACGGCCCAAACUCCUACGGGAGGCAGCAGUAGGGAAUCUUCGGCAAUCGACGAAAGUCUGACCGAGCAACGCCGCGUGAGUGAAGAAGGUUUUCGGAUCGUAAAACUCUGUUGGUAGAGAAGAACGUUGGUGAGAGUGGAAAGCUCAUCAAGUGACGGUAACUACACAGAAAGGGACGGCUAACUACGUG